ACGCUCGACACCUACGGGGGCAGCAGUGGGGAAUAUUGCACAAUGGGGGAAACCCUGAUGCAGCGACGCCGCGUGGAGGAAGAAGGUCUUCGGAUUGUAAACUCCUGUUGUUGGGGAAAAAGAGGAUGGUACCCAACAAGGAAGUGACGGCUAACUACGUGCCAUCAGCCGCGGUAAUCUGAGCGGGCUGGCAAGGC
RNAcentral lists this ribosomal RNA (197 nucleotides) under uncultured bacterium. Its description in RNAcentral is "partial 16S ribosomal RNA". It matches the Rfam family "Bacterial small subunit ribosomal RNA", at positions 328 to 539 of the family's 1533-position model. The record is from RNAcentral.